RNAcentral lists this ribosomal RNA (319 nucleotides) under uncultured eukaryote. RNAcentral describes it as "partial 18S ribosomal RNA". It matches the Rfam family "Eukaryotic small subunit ribosomal RNA", at positions 1470 to 1796 of the family's 1831-position model. The record is from RNAcentral.
CCCUUAGAUGUUCUGGGCAGCACGCGCGCUACAAUGGUCUUCGCAAACGGAUGCAUUCUCGAAGGAGAAUGCCAAUCUUGGAAUCUAUGCCUUGGUCGGGACAGUUGCUUGCAAUUUUUAGACUCGAACCAGGAAUUCCUUGUAAUCGUGAUUCAUCACAUCACGAUGAAUACGUCCCUGCCCUUUGUACACACCGCCCGUCGCUCCUACCGAUCGAAGAGUUAGGUGAAUUGUUUUGAUCGAUAAGAUUUGACUAUGGUCAACUCUCGUUGUGAAAUUCUGUGAAUCUGACUGUUUAGAGGAAGGAAAAGUCGUAACA